UCUUUGCUAGUAUAUCGGUUAGUACACGCGCCUGUCAUUGUGAAAACGCGCGAAAGCUGGGUUCGACUCCCAGGCAGAGAG
This is a non-coding RNA of Blastosporella zonata, 81 nucleotides long. NCBI's taxonomy places the organism in Eukaryota, Fungi, Basidiomycota, Agaricomycetes, Agaricales, Lyophyllaceae. The record is from the annotation of a GenBank genome assembly.